Long non-coding RNA from Cryptotermes secundus, 534 nucleotides. RefSeq lists it as uncharacterized. The transcript is spliced from 2 exons. The record is from RefSeq and is a predicted model, not a curated record. Lineage: Eukaryota; Metazoa; Arthropoda; Insecta; Blattodea; Kalotermitidae.
GGUAUAAAUGUGAGGAUGAUUCCUCUUGUCAGCUACUGAUCAUCGGCAGAGUUCUGGAAUCCACCGAGCUAUCAACCAGCAACUGCCAUCACUAUGAAGUUCGUUGUAGCAUUUGCUCUGCUGGCCAUUCUCGUUGCCAUGGCAACCGGAGCGGCAUUCCCUGGCCCCCGCCCCUUUCCCGCGAAUGGUGUCCAUAAGGAAAGCCUAGCUGGUUCCGAAACUGUGUACUACCCCUACGCCUACUACCCAGCUUACUAUCCCAUCGCAUACCUGGGAUGAAGGCACUAAAUCACUGUCAAGAAGUAACAUUAUGAAGACUUUCUGCUAGAUUAUGGACAACAUUCGUCUUUGUUCUCGUCUGGAACAGCCCAGCAUCAACUUGAUCUUCUGUGGCUGGCAUAAGCCAAACAAAAUACUGUGUUCAGUACAUAAUAAUGCAAACUUUUUAUGCAUUUAUUGACAAGUUUUAUUAUUUCAAAAUGUACGCAACUUGAAACAUUUAUUUUGCAAUAAAAAUAACAUAACACUAACUAA